RNAcentral lists this ribosomal RNA (206 nucleotides) under uncultured bacterium. RNAcentral describes it as "partial 16S ribosomal RNA". It matches the Rfam family "Bacterial small subunit ribosomal RNA", at positions 568 to 774 of the family's 1533-position model. The record is from RNAcentral.
AGCGUAGACGGUGUGGCAAGUCUGAUGUGAAAGGCAUGGGCUCAACCUGUGGACUGCAUUGGAAACUGUCAUACUUGAGUGCCGGAGGGGUAAGCGGAAUUCCUAGUGUAGCGGUGAAAUGCGUAGAUAUUAGGAGGAACACCAGUGGCGAAGGCGGCUUACUGGACGGUAGCUGACGUUGAGGCUCGAAAGCGUGGGAGCAAACA